UGGCUCAGACGGUAAAGCGUCUGUCUACAACGCGGAAGACCCAGGUUCGAACCCUGG
Molecule: transfer RNA, 57 nt
Organism: Ovis aries (sheep)
Lineage: Eukaryota; Metazoa; Chordata; Mammalia; Artiodactyla; Bovidae
Rfam family: tRNA
About the family: Transfer RNA (tRNA) molecules are approximately 80 nucleotides in length. Their secondary structure includes four short double-helical elements and three loops (D, anti-codon, and T loops).
Source: Rfam